UACGGGAGGCAGCAGUGAGGAAUAUUGGUCAAUGGGCGCUAGCCUGAACCAGCCAAGUAGCGUGAAGGAUGACUGCCCUAUGGGUUGUAAACUUCUUUUAUAAGGGAAUAAAACGGGGAACGUGUUCCCCCUUGCAUGUACCUUACGAAUAAGGAUCGGCUAACUCCGUGCCAGCAGCCGCGGUAAUACGGAGGAUCCGAGCGUUAUCCGGAUUUAUUGGGUUUAAAGGGUGCGUAGGCGGAAUGAUCAGUCAGUUGUGAAAGUUUGAGGCUCAACCUUAAAAUUGCAUUUGAUACUGUCAUUCUUGAGUGUACAAGAGGUGGGCGGAAUUCGUGGUGUAGCGGUGAAAUGCUUAGAUAUCACGAAGAACUCCGAUUGCGAAGGCAGCUCACUGGGGUACAACUGACGCUGAGGCACGAAAGUGUGGGUAUCAAACAGGAUUAGAUACCCUGGUAGUCCACACAGUAAACGAUGAAUACUCGCUGUUUGCGAUAUACGGUAAGCGGCUAAGUGAAAGCGUUAAGUAUUCCACCUGGGGAGUACGCCGGCAACGGUGAAACUCAAAGGAAUUGACGG
This 576-nucleotide ribosomal RNA is filed under the name uncultured bacterium. RNAcentral's name for it is "bacterial SSU rRNA". It matches the Rfam family "Bacterial small subunit ribosomal RNA", at positions 340 to 916 of the family's 1533-position model. The record is from RNAcentral.